UCCCUGACUACAACAAGGCCCAGGCAUAGGAGGACAGUUUGAUAAUUGUGGAGGAAAUGCAGGGUUUCCACCUGGAUACUGAUUUCCUGAGCAAGAAGAAAGAACACAAAUCAGUCCCUGAGCCACAGAGAAACAUCAGGUGCGAUGGCGUCAAGGACUUUAAGUGUUUUGGAGUUGAAGCUGGCUAAGAGUGACCCAACGCAGCUGGAUGUUGGACGUGUUGAUAAGUUCAUCUGUUCAGUAAAAGCUGAAGCAAUGUGAUCACCUACCUUUAGCAGGUGAGCUGUGUCUGGAUGUCAUCUGAUGCUUUUGUCUGAAGCCACACCUUUACCCGAGCCCAUCCUCUCUGCAUCACAAGUCCUGAGAAUCCUGACAGAAGAAGGUUUUUAGGUGUUUUUAAUGCUUGUCAUAGAUGUAGAAAAUUCUCUAUAUGAUGUUGUGCUCAGCAAUGGCUAUCAUCCAGU
Non-coding RNA from Nothobranchius furzeri (turquoise killifish), 464 nucleotides. The record is from RefSeq and is a predicted model, not a curated record. Lineage: Eukaryota; Metazoa; Chordata; Actinopteri; Cyprinodontiformes; Nothobranchiidae.